GACGCACGGAUUUGAGCGGCCUCGGAAUUACCUCGAACGGACUUUUAAUCUGUAGGUCUUGGGUUCGAACCCCAACGCGCUCACCA
This 86-nucleotide transfer RNA is filed under the name Methylobacterium sp. WL103. Its description in RNAcentral is "tRNA-Lys". Lineage: Bacteria; Pseudomonadati; Pseudomonadota; Alphaproteobacteria; Hyphomicrobiales; Methylobacteriaceae. The record is from RNAcentral.